Molecule: long non-coding RNA, 3232 nt
Filed under: Homo sapiens (human)
Lineage: Eukaryota; Metazoa; Chordata; Mammalia; Primates; Hominidae
Description: HSALNT0349276
Source: RNAcentral
GUGAAUGGAUUUAAAAGGUGACUGGAACACUUCUUUCUGACCUCAGAGAUGUGAUGGAUGUCCGGGAAGAUUUUCUCAAGGGCUAGAAGUUAAGAACUUUGUUCCUACUGUUUAUCUUUUUCCCUUUCAUAUUCAAGCCACUUAACCAUACUGAGCCUCAACUUUUUCAUUUAUAAAAUGGAAAUCAUUUUAACUUUUCUCUGGAGGACAGCUGUUGCCUGCCCAUCACUAUUUCCUCCUUUUCUGGUGACAACAUCCUACUUUCCUUCAAAGAAUAAUGCCUACCCCAUUAUAAUAACUUUUACACGGGGCUGUCCCAACACAUGCUGCCUUCAAGGCUAGGUGCAUGACACAGGCCUGGCCAAUCAGUGUGUCCAAUCCCUCUGGCCACUGUGAUUGGUCCAGUUACGGGUAUAUGAUGCAGAUCAAUCCAGUAAAACUCAACCUCGUGACUUUUACUGGAACCAUCAGUCAAGACGCCUUCUUUUUCUGUGAGUUUUCCAGGCUAGGAGAAGGAAAGUUAGAGCCCUGGGAUGCCACGUCAUGAGAAAAGCCUGCCAGAGAGCAAAACUAGCACAAAGGAAAGAAAGUAUUCCAAUAAAAGGGUGACGCUGAAAGCUGAAAUGUGAAUUUGUUAAAUCCUCAAAUAGCCAACAGCUUCUAGGACAAGAUCAUACACAGUUAGGACCUCGAUAACAAUUUGUUAGUGGAAUAGAUAAGAACAUUUUAGAUCCUGUUGCUCAAUUCUGAAAUGCUGCUCUGUGUCAUGAAUAUUGGUUUAUUUUCUUUGUAGAGUGAAGUCAUUAAGACUAGAGCUCCAGGCUUCUUCAUCCAACUCCAAGGGUUCCCAGCAACAUGUGAAGUCCUCUAUCUGUCACUAAGAAGCCGUGUGAGUGAAGCAGGCUAUAUACCUUGGUUUCAACAUCUGUGAACAAGCAAUGGAUGGAUGACUCACCUCUCAUAGGAAUGAUAGAACUUGGAUCAUCUUGUCAAUCACAGAUGAGAAGAAUACACCUUGGCAGCUGCUGGAUCAAGGCAAAUGAGAGACCCAUGGAGCUCACUAAAUCCAACUCUACAGCUUGGAGCUAAGCCUAACUUAGCCAAGUCUAAACCAGUUUGACCUCAGCCAAUUCACAGAUGUUUGAGCCAGAAGUAAGGUGCUUGUUGCUGGAAGCCAGUUAAAUUUUGAGAUCUUUUUGAAAAAUAUAUUGUCAUUGCAGACAUAGAUGCACAUAGUUUUCCACACUGUGGGAAGUCAAAUUAAGCAUGCUUAGACUUUUAAAGCAGAAGCCCAUUAUUAGUGGGGUGGCAAAAAUGUUACAAGUGACAUAGUCCUCCAAUUUCCUUCUUCUAGCCCUCUGCCUAAGAACUAGUGUACUUCAUUUUGAAGUGGAGCCCUAACGGGAGUGUUCAUCUUCUGUCAACAGGGUUAAGCCUCUUGACGCUUACUGGGCACUCACAGUUGUUAGUUCCCUGGAAGACAUGAAAGAGCUUGAUUGGUUCUGUAGUCGUCAGUCAAUAACCAACUGUAACAUACCUACACUUCCAACAAAAUCUUGAUUUGGGAAAUUGAGUGUCUGCUUAUAGUUAAUCCUCUAUUUUUUGACACCUAGUAGGAAAAACAUUUUCAAAAGAGCCAUGACCUGACUCAGUUAAUAUGCAAGGAAAAAUAAGCAGUUCCAAACUUGUCAGUUUAUCCAUCAUCCCUUAUCCAAAAUCCUUCAACUCUCUUGGAAUUAUUUUGUUCUUCAUACUUGCCCAACAAAUAUCUUACUCUUGUCUUGGACUUUAUUUUAUAGUUAUCUCACAUAAGCUCCUUGUGGCUAAGGGCACAUAUUUGGAAUCAGACUACCCUAGUUCAACUCUUGGGUCUACCAUUUAUUAGCUUGUAUUACUUUGGGAAAGAUAAUUAAAUUCUCCAGAUCUAAUUUCCCCCAUUAUAAGAUAAUAAUAGUUAUUACCUGCUAGGAUUGUCUUGAGAAGUAAAUUAGAUAAUUCAUAAGAACCAUUUAACACAGUGCCAGCCACAUAAUGAAGGCAUAGUAAGGGAAAGUUAUUAUGCUGUUGAUAAUACUUGUCUAGGCAGGGGUCUCAUAUUUUUCCCUGUAUCCAUUACUGUACAAUUCAUCUGUCCCAUGACAUUCUAAGAUUGUUUUAGAGUGAGUUGCUUCAGAGUUGAAUAAUUCUAAUAAUAUAUUCUCAUGUUUGGAAACAACUUGGAAUUCCAUUUAGUGUAGACAUCAACAAUGAAAUCGCUAGAGGAUGAGUAAUUUCUACAAUUUUUAUUCAUUAUAGAGAGACCAAUGGGUAUAAUGGUGAAAAGAACUGAGUAGAAGGUCAGGAGGUCAAAGAGACUGAGUUUAAACCCUCACUCUGCUGAGUACUGUUAAUAAUGGUAUGAUCUUAAGAGAACUAAUCUUUAGUUUUUCCCACCUUAAAAACAGAGUUGUCAUGAGUAUUUAAUAAUAGAGGGUAGUAUGUAAACUUCCUGGCAUAUAGCAACUGCUCAACAAAUAGAAGUUAUAGUUUUUUCUUAACUUGCCAAAGAGCCAAGGGAAAAAUGAAGAUUUUGUAGCCAAAGCCAUUUAUCUUUCUCUGUUAUGUGCCUAUCUGUUCCAGAAACAGAAUCAAUUCCUUGAACCUCAUCAAAGGAAGGAUUUGAACAUUUAAAAAAAAAUCAAUCUCUUUGGGUUUGUUAUUGCUUGUUUCCCAUACCUCAGAGACACAAAUACAAACCUUUAUAAUGUCAUCAGGAAGAAGAGGAGUCAAACACUCCUUAACUCAAUAAUUGCAAUGUUAUUAUUUUGCAAGGAAUAGAGUCAAAAUUCCAUUCACAUGAGGACUGUAACUUCUUCAUUACUCCUUGAGGCACGAUGUCCUUGAUUUUAAGUAGCUCAUGUAGAAACUAGUUGUAAGUCUUUAGCGGAGAGACUGUACUGGAAUUAUAGGAUCUACUUAGGGGUUUGAGCUUCCCCACCCACUUAGAGUGACAGUUCACACCUAUAAAAACACAAAAGUCCGGGGGUUUAUUAAACAUUAGGAGAUCCAAAGAGCCAAGACUUCUACCUGUAAAAGUGGUGCUUCCUAAGCAGAAGAAAUGGAAUUUCUCAGAGAAUACAGCUUGGCUUGACCAAUGGACUGUACAAGGAAGAUUAGGAGGUAAUUACUGGGGUAAAAGAGAAAUGGUUGCAUCUUUCUGGAACACUCUAAUAAAACUGAAAGUUUUUCCUGA